Molecule: ribosomal RNA, 426 nt
Filed under: Triticum aestivum (bread wheat)
Lineage: Eukaryota; Viridiplantae; Streptophyta; Magnoliopsida; Poales; Poaceae
Description: partial small subunit ribosomal RNA
Source: RNAcentral
AUGACUGGUUUAUCAUGGAAGCUAAGCUAUGGAUUUCAAUUGGAGGAGGAAGGCCGAUGGGAUGGACUUUUUCAUACUCGUGUUGUGGUACAAGAGAGAUCGUGUGCUAUGACAAUCGAUCACAUGAGUUUGAUCAACGCGGCAAGCAUCGAGAUGGUGGAGAAGUUGGAACUACCGACGACACCACGCCCACAACCAUACUCGUUCCGUUGGUGUCAUGAAGAGCUCAGUGUCACACAUCAGACCGAGGUACCGUUUUUGUUGGGAAAAUAUUUUUGCACGGUUUUGUGUGACGUGAUACCGGCACCGAUGGUUUCAUGUCAUUUAUUGUUAGGCAAGCCAUGGUACAAAGAGCACGAUGUUGCCUAUGAUUGUCAAACACACAUAUAUACUGUCAAGAAGGGUAAGAAGUACGACCUUUAUUAG